RNAcentral lists this ribosomal RNA (407 nucleotides) under Starmerella cf. meliponinorum MS-2010. Its description in RNAcentral is "eukaryotic LSU rRNA". It matches the Rfam family "Eukaryotic large subunit ribosomal RNA", at positions 86 to 509 of the family's 3401-position model. Lineage: Eukaryota; Fungi; Ascomycota; Dipodascomycetes; Dipodascales; Trichomonascaceae. The record is from RNAcentral.
ACGGCGAGUGAACAGGCAAGAGCUCAGAUUUGAAAGCCUUUUUGGCAUUGUAUUCUGAAGUAUUUAUCCUGAGUAAUGAUGUCUAAGUCUUCUGGAAAGGAGCGCCAUGGAGGGUGAUAGCCCCGUGUGACAUCCCACUCAUUGUAGGAUUUAUACGUGGAGUCGAGUUGUUUGGGAAUGCAGCUCAAACGGGUGGUAUGCUCCAUCUAAAGCUAAAUAUCUGUGAGAGACCGAUAGCGAACAAGUACUGUGAAGGAAAGAUGAAAAGAACUUUGAAAAGAGAGUGAAAAAGUACGUGAAAUUGUUGAAAUGGAAGGGUAGGCCGCUAACCAUGUAGAACCGUGUUUGGGGGGAAGAUAAAAGCUGAAGAAUGUGGCUCCUCGGAGUGUUAUAGCUUCAGUCAAUAU